Molecule: ribosomal RNA, 397 nt
Filed under: Chitinophagales bacterium
Lineage: Bacteria; Pseudomonadati; Bacteroidota; Chitinophagia; Chitinophagales
Description: bacterial SSU rRNA
Rfam family: Bacterial small subunit ribosomal RNA
Source: RNAcentral
UUUACAACGGAGAGUUUGAUCCUGGCUCAGGAUGAACGCUAGCGGCAGGCUUAAUACAUGCAAGUCGAACGGUAACAGGUGUAGCAAUACAUGCUGACGAGUGGCAGACGGGUGAGGAACACGUACACAACUUCCCUCUUACUGGGGCACAACUCCGAGAAAUCGGGGCUAAUUCCCCAUAAUAUUUUGGAUAGGCAUCUUUUCAAAAUUAAAACUCAGGUGGUAAGAGAUGGGUGUGCGUCUGAUUAGCUAGUUGGUGAGGUAACGGCCCACCAAGGCAACGAUCAGUAACUGGUGUGAGAGCACGACCAGUCACACGGGCACUGAGAUACGGGCCCGACUCCUACGGGAGGCAGCAGUAAGGAAUAUUGGUCAAUGGACGCAAGUCUGAACCAGC